This 433-nucleotide ribosomal RNA is filed under the name uncultured bacterium. Its description in RNAcentral is "partial 16S ribosomal RNA". It matches the Rfam family "Bacterial small subunit ribosomal RNA", at positions 29 to 507 of the family's 1533-position model. The record is from RNAcentral.
AACGAACGCUGGCGGCAGGCCUAACACAUGCAAGUCGAGCGGACCCUUCGGGGUUAGCGGCGGACGGGUGAGUAACGCGUGGGAAUAUGCCCUUCUCUACGGAAUAGUCCUGGGAAACUGGGGGUAAUACCGUAUACGCCCUUUGGGGGAAAGAUUUAUCGGGGAAGGAUUAGCCCGCGUUGGAUUAGGUAGUUGGUGGGGUAAUGGCCUACCAAGCCGACGAUCCAUAGCUGGUUUGAGAGGAUGAUCAGCCACACUGAGACUGAGACACGGCCCAGACUCCUACGGGAGGCAGCAGUGGGGAAUCUUAGACAAUGGGGGCAACCCUGAUCGAGCCAUGCCGCGUGAGUGAUGAAGGCCUUAGGGUUGUAAAGCUCUUUCAGCUGGGAAGAUAAUGACGGUACCAGCAGAAGAAGCCCCGGCUAACUCCGUG